RNAcentral lists this ribosomal RNA (460 nucleotides) under uncultured bacterium. RNAcentral's name for it is "partial 16S ribosomal RNA". It matches the Rfam family "Bacterial small subunit ribosomal RNA", at positions 338 to 795 of the family's 1533-position model. The record is from RNAcentral.
CCUACGGGAGGCUGCAGUGAGGAAUAUUGGUCAAUGGGCGGAAGCCUGAACCAGCCAAGUAGCGUGCAGGAUGACGGCCCUACGGGUUGUAAACUGCUUUUAUACGGGAAUAACGCGCCUUACGUGUAGGGCUUUGCAUGUACCGUAUGAAUAAGGACCGGCUAAUUCCGUGCCAGCAGCCGCGGUAAUUCGGAAGGUCCGGGCGUUAUCCGGAUUUAUUGGGUUUAAAGGGAGCGUAGGCCGCAUGUCAAGCGUGCUGGGAAAGGUCCGGGCGCAACCCGGGCCUUGCAGCGCGAACUGGCGUGCUUGAGUCCGCGGAAAGCAGGCGGAAUUCGUCGUGUAGCGGUGAAAUGCUUAGAUAUGACGAAGAACCCCGAUUGCGAAGGCAGCUUGCUGCAGCGGAACUGACGCUGAUGCUCGAAAGCGCGGGUAUCGAACAGGAUUAGAUACCCGAGUAGUC